UCUGAAUAUGGGUUUACUAGUUGGUGGUGAAUUGAUAGUCGCCAACUAUUAGGCCUUUAUGUCCAGA
This 67-nucleotide microRNA precursor is filed under the name Myotis lucifugus (little brown bat). RNAcentral describes it as "miRNA (ENSMLUG00000027693.1)". The record is from RNAcentral. Lineage: Eukaryota; Metazoa; Chordata; Mammalia; Chiroptera; Vespertilionidae.